AACGCUGGCGGCAGGCCUAACACAUGCAAGUCGAGCGGUAACAGAGAGCUUGCUCUCGGGUGACGAGCGGCGGACGGGUGAGUAAUGUCUGGGAAACUGCCUGAUGGAGGGGUAACUACUGGAAACGGUAGCUAAUACCGCAUAACGUCGCAAGACCAAAGUGGGGGACCUUCGGGCCUCAUGCCAUCAGAUGUGCCCAGAUGGGGUUAGCUGGUAGGUGGGGUAACGGCUCACCUAGGCGACGACCUAGCUGGUCUGAGAGGAUGACCAGCCACACUGGAACUGAGACACGGUCCAGACUCCUACGGGAGGCAGCAGUGGGGAAUAUUGCACAAUGGGCGCAAGCCUGAUGCAGCCAUGCCGCGUGUGUGAAGAAGGCCUUCGGGUUGUAAAGCACUUUCAGCGGGGAGGAAGGCGGUGAGGUUAAUAACCUCACCGAUUGACGUUACCCGCAGAAGGCACCGGCUAACUCCGUGCCAGCAGCCGCGGUAAUACGGAGGGUGCAAGCGUUAAUCGGAAUUACUGGGCGUAAAGCGCACGCAGGCGGUCUGUCAAGUCGGAUGUGAAAUCCCCGGGCUCAACCUGGGAA
This 589-nucleotide ribosomal RNA is filed under the name uncultured Klebsiella sp. Its description in RNAcentral is "bacterial SSU rRNA". It matches the Rfam family "Bacterial small subunit ribosomal RNA", at positions 32 to 620 of the family's 1533-position model. The record is from RNAcentral. Lineage: Bacteria; Pseudomonadati; Pseudomonadota; Gammaproteobacteria; Enterobacterales; Enterobacteriaceae.